CUGCAGUGAUGUCUUUUCUUAGGACACCUUUGGAUUUACCGUGAAAAUUACUUGAUUCUGAGCAGC
Small nucleolar RNA from Phyllostomus discolor (pale spear-nosed bat), 66 nucleotides. RefSeq annotates it as small nucleolar RNA SNORD58. The record is from RefSeq and is a predicted model, not a curated record. The transcript has a single exon. NCBI's taxonomy places the organism in Eukaryota, Metazoa, Chordata, Mammalia, Chiroptera, Phyllostomidae.